CGGGGCGUAGCGCAACGGUUAGCGCGCUUGGUUCGGGACCAAGAGGUUGCUGGUUCAAAUCCAGUCGCCCCGA
This 73-nucleotide transfer RNA is filed under the name Pseudomonadota bacterium. RNAcentral's name for it is "tRNA-Pro". It matches the Rfam family "tRNA". From Rfam's summary of the family: Transfer RNA (tRNA) molecules are approximately 80 nucleotides in length. Their secondary structure includes four short double-helical elements and three loops (D, anti-codon, and T loops). RNAcentral also lists the same sequence under 1 other name. Lineage: Bacteria; Pseudomonadati; Pseudomonadota. The record is from RNAcentral.